GAUGAACGCUGGCGGCGUGCCUAAUACAUGCAAGUCGAGCGAACGGACGAGAAGCUUGCUUUUCUGAUGUUAGCGGCGGACGGGUGGGUAACACGUGGAUAACCUACCUAUAAGACUGGGAUAACUUCGGGAAACCGGAGCUAAUACCGGAUAAUAUUUUGAACCGCAUGGUUCAAAAGUGAAAGACGGUCUUGCUGUCACUUAUAGAUGGAUCCGCGCUGCAUUGGCUAGUUGGUAAGGUAACGGCUUACCAAGGCAACGAUGCAUAGCCGACCUGAGAGGGUGAUCGGCCACACUGGAACUGAGACACGGUCCAGACUCCUACGGGAGGCAGCAGUAGGGAAUCUUCCGCAAUGGGCGAAAGCCUGACGGAGCAACGCCGCGUGAGUGAUGAAGGUCUUCGGAUCGUAAAACUCUGUUAUUAGGGAAGAACAUAUGUGUAAGUAACUGUGCACAUCUUGACGGUACCUAAUCAGAAAGCCACGGCUAACUACGUG
RNAcentral lists this ribosomal RNA (497 nucleotides) under uncultured bacterium. Its description in RNAcentral is "partial 16S ribosomal RNA". It matches the Rfam family "Bacterial small subunit ribosomal RNA", at positions 28 to 507 of the family's 1533-position model. The record is from RNAcentral.